GUGCCGUGUACUCCCAGAUGGCCUCCGGGUCGAUCAGCGCCUGCUCGCCGAAGUACGCGCCGUCGGCGAGGACUCCGAGUACCGCGUCGUCGCCGUACGGGCCCGUGCCCACCUUCUCGACCUUGCCGUGCGCGAGCAAAAAGACCUCGUCGGCCCGGCUGCCGAACGAGGCGAGCACCUCCCCCGGUGCGAACUCCCGCUGCUCGCAGCGCUGGGCGAGCUCGCCGAGCACCUCCUGGUCCUCGUACGUCCGCAGCAGCGUCAGUUCGCCGAGCUCCGCGGGAAUGACCUGCACACGGUCACCGGUCUUCACGAAGGUGACACGGCCGUCGCCCACGGAGUAACUGAGCCGGCGGUUUACUCGGUACGUGCCACCCUGCACGUUCACCCACGGCAGCAUGCGCAGCAGCCAACGUGAGCUGAUCUCCUGCAUCUGGGGUGCGGACUUGGUGGUCGUGGCCAGGUUCCGCGCGGCCGAUGUGCCGAGACUCUGCUGGGGCCUG
Non-coding RNA from Streptomyces avermitilis MA-4680 = NBRC 14893, 503 nucleotides. NCBI's taxonomy places the organism in Bacteria, Bacillati, Actinomycetota, Actinomycetes, Kitasatosporales, Streptomycetaceae. The record is from Rfam.